UAAUACGAAGGGUGCUAGCGUUGUUCGGAAUCACUGGGCGUAAAGCGCGCGUAGGCGGCUUGACAAGUCAGAGGUGAAAGCCUGGAGCUUAACUCCAGAAUUGCCUUUGAAACUGUCAAGCUUGAGUGUCGGAGGGGAUAGCGGAAUUCCUAAUGUAGAGGUGAAAUUCGUAGAUAUUAGGAGGAACACCGGUGGCGAAGGCGGCUAUCUGGACGACAACUGACGCUGAGGCGCGAAAGCGUGGGGAUCAAACAGG
This 256-nucleotide ribosomal RNA is filed under the name uncultured bacterium. Its description in RNAcentral is "partial 16S ribosomal RNA". It matches the Rfam family "Bacterial small subunit ribosomal RNA", at positions 521 to 776 of the family's 1533-position model. The record is from RNAcentral.